This 219-nucleotide unclassified non-coding RNA is filed under the name Hevea brasiliensis (rubber tree). The record is from RNAcentral. Lineage: Eukaryota; Viridiplantae; Streptophyta; Magnoliopsida; Malpighiales; Euphorbiaceae.
GUACAAUAUCUUGAAGAGUAGCAGCCGAGUUAGGGAGGAAGUGUAGAAGGAUUGAGGAUACCGUUGUGGAGUUUGGACUUUGCAUUUGGUUAUAGCUUUGGGAGUUUUCAAUGCACAGCAUGCCAUUACUCUAAAUACAGACUUCUUGUUGUGGUAGUAAGUUAUGGCUGUUGUAGUGGUGGUGGAACUCUUUGUUCUUGCUCUGGCUUGUGAAAGUGC